GACGAACGCUGGCGGCGUGCUUAACACAUGCAAGUCGAGCGGAGCGGCGAACGGGUGAGUAACGCGUGAGUAACUGCCCCCCUCUCUGGGAUAACAGUUGGAAACGGCUGCUAAUACCGGAUAGUGGGGGAUGACUCGCGUCCUAUCCGCUUGUUGGUGGGGUAGUGGCCUACCAAGGCGACGACGGGUAGCCGGCCUGAGAGGGCGACCGGCAACAAGGGGCUGCGAUACGGACCAAACGAGUACAGGAGGCAGCAGGGGUGAGUAUUGCGCAAUGGGGGAAACUCUGAUGCAGAAACGCCGCGUGCGGGAUGACGGCCUUCGGGUUGUAAACCGCUUUCAGCCAUGACGCGGUAGUGGCAGAAGAAGCACCGGCUAACUACGUGCCAGCAGCCGCGGUAAUUC
RNAcentral lists this ribosomal RNA (405 nucleotides) under uncultured bacterium. RNAcentral's name for it is "partial 16S ribosomal RNA". It matches the Rfam family "Bacterial small subunit ribosomal RNA", at positions 28 to 526 of the family's 1533-position model. The record is from RNAcentral.